UACGGAGGGUGCAAGCGUUGUUCGGAAUUACUGGGCGUAAAGCGCGUGUAGGCGGCCAUGCAAGUCGGAUGUGAAAGCCCUCGGCUCAACCGGGGAAGUGCACUCGAAACUGCAAGGCUAGAGUCUCGGAGAGGAUCGUGGAAUUCUCGGUGUAGAGGUGAAAUUCGUAGAUAUCGAGAGGAACACCGGUGGCGAAGGCGGCGAUCUGGACGAUGACUGACGCUGAGACGCGAAAGCGUGGGGAGCAAACAGG
This 253-nucleotide ribosomal RNA is filed under the name uncultured bacterium. RNAcentral describes it as "partial 16S ribosomal RNA". It matches the Rfam family "Bacterial small subunit ribosomal RNA", at positions 524 to 776 of the family's 1533-position model. The record is from RNAcentral.